Molecule: ribosomal RNA, 433 nt
Filed under: uncultured bacterium
Lineage: Bacteria
Description: partial 16S ribosomal RNA
Rfam family: Bacterial small subunit ribosomal RNA
Source: RNAcentral
ACCUCCCUCUUUCUUCAUGCCUAACACAUGCAAGUCGAACGAGACCUUCGGGUCUAGUGGCGCACGGGUGCGUAACGCGUGGGAACCUGCCUUUAGGUUCGGAAUAACUCAGAGAAAUUUGAGCUAAUACCGGAUGAUGUCUUCGGACCAAAGAUUUAUCGCCUUUAGAUGGGCCCGCGUUGGAUUAGCUAGUUGGUGGGGUAAAGGCCUACCAAGGCGACGAUCCAUAGCUGGUCUGAGAGGAUGAUCAGCCACACUGGGACUGAGACACGGCCCAGACUCCUACGGGAGGCAGCAGUGGGGAAUAUUGGACAAUGGGCGAAAGCCUGAUCCAGCAAUGCCGCGUGAGUGAUGAAGGCCUUAGGGUUGUAAAGCUCUUUUACCCGAGAUGAUAAUGACAGUAUCGGGAGAAUAAGCUCCGGCUAACUCCGUG